This 256-nucleotide ribosomal RNA is filed under the name uncultured bacterium. RNAcentral describes it as "partial 16S ribosomal RNA". It matches the Rfam family "Bacterial small subunit ribosomal RNA", at positions 524 to 776 of the family's 1533-position model. The record is from RNAcentral.
UACGUAGGGGGGCAAGCGUUGUCCGGAAGUUAUUGGGCGUAAAGAGCGCGUAGGCGGUCCGGUAAGUCGGCUGUGAAAGUCAAGGGCUCAACCCUUGAAAGCCGGCCGAUACUGUCGGACUAGAGUCCGGAAGAGGCGAGUGGAAUUCCCGGUGUAGCGGUGAAAUGCGCAGAUAUCGGGAAGAACACCCGUGGCGAAGGCGGCUCUCUGGGACGGUACUGACGCUGAGACGCGGAAAGCGUGGGGAGCGAACAGG